CCCUUAGUAACUGCGAGUGAAGCGGGAAAAGCUCAAAUUUAAAAUCUGGCGGUUCUGCCGUCCGAGUUGUAAUUUAGAGAAGUGUUAUCCGCGCUGGACCGUGUACAAGUCUCCUGGAAUGGAGCGUCAUAGAGGGUGAGAAUCCCGUCUUUGACACGGACUCCCAGGGCAUUGUGAUGCGCUCUCAAAGAGUCGAGUUGUUUGGGAUUGCAGCUCAAAAUGGGUGGUAAAUUCCAUCUAAAGCUAAAUAUUGGGGAGAGACCGAUAGCGAACAAGUACCGUGAGGGAAAGAUGAAAAGAACUUUGGAAAGAGAGUUAAACAGUACGUGAAAUUGCUGAAAGGGAAACGCUUGAAGUCAGUCGCGUUGUUCGGGAUUCAACUUUAGCUUCUGCUGGGUGGAUUUCCUGUUCGACGGGUCAGCAUCAGUUUUGGCCGGUGGAUAAAGGUCCAGAGAAUGUGGCAUCUUCGGAUGUGUUAUAGCUCUGGGUCGCAUACAUCGGCUGGGACUGAGGAACUCAGCACGCCGCAAGGCCAGGUUCGACC
This 544-nucleotide ribosomal RNA is filed under the name Mycena pearsoniana. RNAcentral describes it as "eukaryotic LSU rRNA". It matches the Rfam family "Eukaryotic large subunit ribosomal RNA", at positions 77 to 621 of the family's 3401-position model. The record is from RNAcentral. Lineage: Eukaryota; Fungi; Basidiomycota; Agaricomycetes; Agaricales; Mycenaceae.